This 484-nucleotide ribosomal RNA is filed under the name uncultured bacterium. RNAcentral describes it as "partial 16S ribosomal RNA". It matches the Rfam family "Bacterial small subunit ribosomal RNA", at positions 30 to 507 of the family's 1533-position model. The record is from RNAcentral.
AUUGAACGCUGGCGGCAGGCCUAACACAUGCAAGUCGAACGGUAACAGGAAGCUUGCUGCUGCUUUGCGCACCGGAGGGGGGCGUGAUGGCUAUGACUGUGCCACUGCGCGGGGGAGGAGGACAAGAACUGGAAACGGUUGCCACAACCGCAUAGCGGCACAAGAUCAAAGAGGGUGAGCUUAGGGCCUCUUGCCAGAGGCUAGGUCGGGUUAGGUAGUUGGUGUGGUAAAGGCCAAGCAAGGCGACGAUCCGGAACUGGCCUGAGAGGAUGAGCAGUCACACUGGAACUGAGACACGGUCCAGACUCCUACGGGAGGCAGCAGUGGGGAAUAUUGGACAAUGGGCGAAAGCCUGAUCCAGCCAUGCCGCGUGUGUGAAGAAGGUCUUCGGAUUGUAAAGCACUUUAAGUUGGGAGGAAGGGCAGUAAGUUAAUACCUUGCUGUUUUGACGUUACCAACAGAAUAAGCACCGGCUAACUUCGUG